This 450-nucleotide ribosomal RNA is filed under the name uncultured bacterium. Its description in RNAcentral is "bacterial SSU rRNA". It matches the Rfam family "Bacterial small subunit ribosomal RNA", at positions 355 to 796 of the family's 1533-position model. The record is from RNAcentral.
UGGGGAAUCUUGCGCAAUGGACGGAAGCCUGACGCAGCCACGCCGCGUGAGUGAAGAAGGCCUUCGGGUUGUAAAGCUCUGUCGCCCGGGACGAAAAGCUAUUGGGUUAACAGCCGAGUAGCCUGACGGUACCGGGAGAGGAAGCACCGGCUAACUCUGUGCCAGCAGCCGCGGUAAUACAGAGGGUGCAAGCGUUGCUCGGAAUUAUUGGGCGUAAAGGGUAGGUAGGUGGUCUCAUUUGUCUGGGGUGAAAUCCUAGGGCUUAACCCUAGAAGUGCCCCAGAAACGGUGAGACUGGAGUCCUGGAGAGGGUCGUGGAAUUCCCGGUGUAGCGGUGAAAUGCGUAGAGAUCGGGAGGAACACCAGAGGCGAAGGCGGCGACCUGGACAGGUACUGACACUCAACUACGAAAGCGUGGGGAGCAAACAGGAUUAGAUACCCCCGUAGUCC